UGCGGUUAAAAAGCUCGUAGUUGGAUUUCUUCCAGGGGCAGUCGGUCCACACUACGUGUGCGUAUCUGAUUUGACUUUGGAAUCCUCUUGGGGAACAUCUCUGCGCUUAACUGCGUGGAAUGGUAUUCAAGACUUUUAUUUUGAGGAAAUUAGAGUGUUCACGGCAGGCAAUCGCCCUGAAUACAUUAGCAUGGAAUAAUAAUAUAGGACUUUGGUUCUAUUUUGUUGGUUUCUAGAGCUAAAGUAAUGAUUAAUAGGGACGCUUGGGGGCAUUCGUAUUAUCACGUCAGAGGUGGAAUUCUUGGAUUGUGUUACGACGAACUACUGCGAAAGCAUUUGCCAAGGAUGUUUUCAUUGAUCAAGAACGAAAGUAAGGGGAUCGAAGACGCUUAGAUACCGUCGUAGUCUUUACCAUAAACUAUGCCAACUAGGGAUUGGAGGGCGUUCUUCAUUCGACUCCUUCAGCACCUUAUGAGAAAUCAAAGUUUUUGGGUUCCGGGGGGAGUAUGGUCGCAAGGCUGGAACUUAAAGGAAUUGACGGAAGGGCACCACC
RNAcentral lists this ribosomal RNA (553 nucleotides) under uncultured marine eukaryote. Its description in RNAcentral is "SSU rRNA". It matches the Rfam family "Eukaryotic small subunit ribosomal RNA", at positions 614 to 1171 of the family's 1831-position model. The record is from RNAcentral.